RNAcentral lists this ribosomal RNA (455 nucleotides) under Escherichia coli. RNAcentral's name for it is "bacterial SSU rRNA". It matches the Rfam family "Bacterial small subunit ribosomal RNA", at positions 30 to 472 of the family's 1533-position model. The record is from RNAcentral. Lineage: Bacteria; Pseudomonadati; Pseudomonadota; Gammaproteobacteria; Enterobacterales; Enterobacteriaceae.
AUUGAACGCUGGCGGCAGGCCUAACACAUGCAAGUCGAACGGUAACAGGAAGCAGCUUGCUGCUUUGCUGACGAGUGGCGGACGGGUGAGUAAUGUCUGGGAAACUGCCUGAUGGAGGGGGAUAACUACUGGAAACGGUAGCUAAUACCGCAUAACGUCGCAAGACCAAAGAGGGGGACCUUCGGGCCUCUUGCCAUCGGAUGUGCCCAGAUGGGAUUAGCUAGUAGGUGGGGUAACGGCUCACCUAGGCGACGAUCCCUAGCUGGUCUGAGAGGAUGACCAGCCACACUGGAACUGAGACACGGUCCAGACUCCUACGGGAGGCAGCAGUGGGGAAUAUUGCACAAUGGGCGCAAGCCUGAUGCAGCCAUGCCGCGUGUAUGAAGAAGGCCUUCGGGUUGUAAAGUACUUUCAGCGGGGAGGAAGGGAGUAAAGUUAAUACCUUUGCUCAUUGA